UACGGAGGGUGCAAGCGUUAUCCGGAAUCACUGGGCGUAAAGGGCGCGUAGGUGGUCUGUUAAGUCUGGCGUUAAAGCCUGGGGCUCAACCCCAGAUCAGCGUUGGAUACUGGCAGGCUAGACGGUUGGAGAGGCGAGUGGAAUUACCAGUGUAGCGGUGGAAUGCGUAGAUACUGGUAGGAACACCCAUUGCGAAGGCAGCUCGCUGGACAACACGUGACACUGAGGCGCGAAAGUGUGGGGAGCAAACCGGAUUAGAUACCCG
Molecule: ribosomal RNA, 265 nt
Filed under: uncultured prokaryote
Description: partial 16S ribosomal RNA
Rfam family: Bacterial small subunit ribosomal RNA
Source: RNAcentral